Molecule: unclassified non-coding RNA, 329 nt
Filed under: soil metagenome
Description: partial contains 5.8S ribosomal RNA, internal transcribed spacer 2, and large subunit ribosomal RNA
Rfam family: 5.8S ribosomal RNA (bases 1-120)
Source: RNAcentral
GAUGAAGAACGUAGCGAAACGCGAUAGGUAAUGUGAAUUGCAGAAUUCAGUGAAUCAUCGAAUCUUUGAACGCACAUUGCGCCCCCUGGUAUUCCGGGGGGCAUGCCUGUCCGAGCGUCAUUACAACCCUCAAGCUCAGCUUGGUAUUGGGCCCCGCCGACCCGGCGGGCCCUAAAGUCAGUGGCGGUGCCGUCCGGCUCCGAGCGUAGUAAUUCUUCUCGCUCUGGAGGUCCGGUCGUGUGCUCGCCAGCAACCCCCAAUUUUUUUCAGGUUGACCUCGGAUCAGGUAGGGAUACCCGCUGAACUUAAGCAUAUCAAUAAGCGGAGGA